UAGGACAAAGGUCUCUUUUCCUUCAGGUU
Molecule: non-coding RNA, 29 nt
Filed under: Mus musculus (house mouse)
Lineage: Eukaryota; Metazoa; Chordata; Mammalia; Rodentia; Muridae
Also listed under: 1 other name
Source: RNAcentral